GAUGAACGCUAGCGGCAGGCCUAAUACAUGCAAGUCGAGGGGCAGCAGGAAUAGCAAUAUUUGCUGGCGACCGGCGCACGGGUGCGUAACACGUAUACAAUCUGCCUUUAACAGGGGGAUAGCCCGGAGAAAUCCGGAUUAAUACCCCAUAACAGAUCGAAUGGCAUCAUUUGAUUUUGAAAGCUCCGGCGGUUAAAGAUGAGUAUGCGUCUGAUUAGCUAGAUGGUGAGGUAACGGCUCACCAUGGCGACGAUCAGUAGGGGAUCUGAGAGGAUUAACCCCCACACGGAUACUGAGACACGGAUCCGACUCCUACGGGAGGCAGCAGUAAGGAAUAUUGGACAAUGCCCGCAAGGGUGAUCCAGCCAUGCCGCGUGCAGGAAGACAGCCCUAUGGGUCGUAAACUGCUUUUACACCGGAGAAAACCCCCCUACGUGUAGGGGGCUGAUAGUAUGGUGAGAAUAAGCAUCGGCUAACUUCGUGCCAGCAGCCGCCGUAACAC
Molecule: ribosomal RNA, 502 nt
Filed under: uncultured bacterium
Lineage: Bacteria
Description: bacterial SSU rRNA
Rfam family: Bacterial small subunit ribosomal RNA
Source: RNAcentral